This 75-nucleotide transfer RNA is filed under the name Bacteroidota bacterium. RNAcentral's name for it is "tRNA-Val". It matches the Rfam family "tRNA". From Rfam's summary of the family: Transfer RNA (tRNA) molecules are approximately 80 nucleotides in length. Their secondary structure includes four short double-helical elements and three loops (D, anti-codon, and T loops). The record is from RNAcentral. Lineage: Bacteria; Pseudomonadati; Bacteroidota.
GGGCAGUUAGCUCAGCAGGUUCAGAGCGUCUGGUUUACACCCAGAAGGUCGUGGGUUCGAAUCCCUCACUGCCCA